UGGGGAAUAUUGGACAAUGGGCGAAAGCCUGAUCCAGCCAUGCCGCGUGUGUGAAGAAGGUCUUCGGAUUGUAAAGCACUUUAAGUUGGGAGGAAGGGCAUUAACCUAAUACGUUAGUGUUUUGACGUUACCGACAGAAUAAGCACCGGCUAACUCUGUGCCAGCAGCCGCGGUAAUAAAGAGGGUGAAAGCGUUAAUCGGAAUUACUGGGCGUAAAGCGCGCGUAGGUGGUUUGUUAAGUUGGAUGUGAAAUCCCCGGGCUCAACCUGGGAACUGCAUUCAAAACUGACUGACUAGAGUAUGGUAGAGGGUGGUGGAAUUUCCUGUGUAGCGGUGAAAUGCGUAGAUAUAGGAAGGAACACCAGUGGCGAAGGCGACCACCUGGACUAAUACUGACACUGAGGUGCGAAAGCGUGGGGAGCAAACA
Molecule: ribosomal RNA, 427 nt
Filed under: uncultured bacterium
Lineage: Bacteria
Description: partial 16S ribosomal RNA
Rfam family: Bacterial small subunit ribosomal RNA
Source: RNAcentral